GAGAAGCAGUUAGAUGGUUUCUCCCCUGGUUCUACAGAAAUGGUUAUAGUUUAUAGCAACCAGAGCCAGGUGACAUCCAUGUGUAGAGUUAGCUAGCCUGGGCCAGCCAGAGAACAGGUCAGUCUCGGCCUCCUUGGUGCCGAGGGGUAGGUUUUGUUUUCAUUCUCCUCAUGAAUAAGUUCUGGAGGCAGAAUAGUAGUUAUCAGGAAGUUGCUUUUAAUUUUAAAAGAUCUCUGUUUCAGAUCCACUGAAUAUUUCCUUACUUUAGACAACAAAACAAGCAGUUUCUUGAUUAGUUCUGCACAUUGAGUACCUCUUCAUAGCUUCUACCAGUGGAAGAUGGAGAUUCCAUCCUGCCUGUGUCACAGCCCACUCUUGACUUCCGGAGGUUCCAGUCCAUGGCCUGUUAGAGAGGAUGCCCUUUAUGAGGGAAAGAGAUCAGCAAAAGGUGACCCAGGACCAGGUGACCUCUACAACUGGGCCUGUGUAGAUGCCUUCAACCUGGGAGAAACUGGUUUGGAGGAGGGCCAGGAGUUAAGUGUCAAACACCCAACUGGA
This 558-nucleotide long non-coding RNA is filed under the name Ictidomys tridecemlineatus (thirteen-lined ground squirrel). Its description in RNAcentral is "lncRNA (ENSSTOG00000033836.1)". Lineage: Eukaryota; Metazoa; Chordata; Mammalia; Rodentia; Sciuridae. The record is from RNAcentral.